AGGAAACCAACCGGGAUUGCCUCAGUAACGGCGAGUGAAGCGGCAAGAGCUCAAAUUUGAAAUCUGGCCCCCUCGGGGUCCGAGUUGUAAUUUGGAGAGGAUGCUUCGGGUGCGGUCCCCGUCUAAGUGCCCUGGAACGGGCCGUCAUAGAGGGUGAGAAUCCCGUCUGGGAUGGGCGGCCGCGCCCGUGUGAAGCUCCUUCGACGAGUCGAGUUGUUUGGGAAUGCAGCUCUAAGCGGGUGGUAAAUUUCAUCUAAAGCUAAAUACUGGCCGGAGACCGAUAGCGCACAAGUAGAGUGAUCGAAAGAUGAAAAGCACUUUGAAAAGAGAGUUAAACAGCACGUGAAAUUGUUGAAAGGGAAGCGUUGGCCCCCAGACGCGCCCAGGGGGGUUCAGCCGGCACGUGUGCCGGUGCACUCCCCCCUGGGUGGGCCAGCAUCGGUUUGGGCGGUCGCUGAAAGGCCCCGGGAAUGUAGCACCCUCCGGGGUGCCUUAUAGCCCGGGGUGUCAUGCGGCCCGCCUGGACCGAGGCCCGCGCUUCGGCGAGGAUGCUGGCGUAAUGGUGGUCAACGGCCCGUCUUGAAACACGGACCAAGGAGUCUAACAUCUAUGCGAGUGUUCGGGUGUCAAACCCGUCCGCGCAGUGAAAGCGAACGCAGGUGGGAACCCCUCCCGGGGCGCACCAUCGACCGAUCCUGAUGUCUUCGGAUGGAUUUGAGUAAGAGCAUAGCUGUUGGGGACCCGAAAGAUGGUGAACUAUGCCUGAAUAGGGCGAAGCCAGAGGAAACUCUGUGGAGGCUCGCAGCGGUUCUGACUGCAAUCCAUCGCAAAUUUGGGUAUAGGGCGAAGACUAAUCGAACCAUCUGGUAGCUGGUUCCUGUCCAGUUUCCGGUGGGGGACGCGCUACCAGAUGGUUCGAUUAGUCUUUCGCCUCUUUACCAAAUUUGAGCAUGGAGUUGGCACGUCAGAACCGGUGGAGC
RNAcentral lists this ribosomal RNA (980 nucleotides) under Talaromyces diversus. Its description in RNAcentral is "partial large subunit ribosomal RNA". It matches the Rfam family "Eukaryotic large subunit ribosomal RNA", at positions 56 to 1014 of the family's 3401-position model. The record is from RNAcentral. Lineage: Eukaryota; Fungi; Ascomycota; Eurotiomycetes; Eurotiales; Trichocomaceae.